AGAGUUUGAUCCUGGCUCAGGAUGAACGCUAGCUACAGGCUUAACACAUGCAAGUCGAGGGGCAGCAUGGUCUUAGCUUGCUAAGGCCGAUGGCGACCGGCGCACGGGUGAGUAACGCGUAUCCAACCUGCCUUACACUCUUGGACAGCCUUCUGAAAGGAAGAUUAAUACAAGAUGUUAUCAUGAGUAAGCAUUUCACAUGAUUAAAGGUUUACCGGUGUAAGAUGGGGAUGCGUUCCAUUAGAUAGUAGGCGGGGUAACGGCCCACCUAGUCUUCGAUGGAUAGGGGUUCUGAGAGGAAGGUCCCUCACAUUGGAACUGAGACACGGUCCAAACUCCUACGGGAGGCAGCA
RNAcentral lists this ribosomal RNA (353 nucleotides) under uncultured bacterium. Its description in RNAcentral is "bacterial SSU rRNA". It matches the Rfam family "Bacterial small subunit ribosomal RNA", at positions 8 to 353 of the family's 1533-position model. The record is from RNAcentral.